Non-coding RNA from Agelaius phoeniceus (red-winged blackbird), 529 nucleotides. NCBI's taxonomy places the organism in Eukaryota, Metazoa, Chordata, Aves, Passeriformes, Icteridae. The record is from RefSeq and is a predicted model, not a curated record.
UCUGGAACCAUUCCAGGAGCCCACGGAAAGGGGCUCGGACAUACUUUCAGUCUGUUCGAUAAGCCUUUGGCCGGCAAGCUACCUCGGAAGAACACACUCCGUUUUAGUGAGUUGCUCUCCUGUGGACGAAGCUGGGAGCUUCUUAUGUACCCGAAGAAGUCAGCUUUAGGUGGAAAUCAACAACCCAGGCUUUUUCGUUCCCCUCUCCUGCAGUUGGAUUGGCUGGCGUUGACUGAACCUCUCCAUCUCAGAGACACUAACUGGCAUUUCAUAUCUGUUAACCCUGAACAACCAGGUACUUGGACACAGCUUUGCCAGAAGCGUCACAUUUUAGUGUUUUCCUUUGAUCUGAACUCAGCCCUGGUGUCAUCAGAAUGAGCCCCAUCCUUCCGUUGCUUCUGUUGACAGCCGUCCAUCCAGGUCAGAUGUGGAUCGUUCCACAACCCCAAGCAAAUGUGUGGACCACCCUCGCCAGAGUCCUCAACCAAGACCACAUUUGCCUGUCAACCUCUUCUGUGUCUGACCCGAU